AGAGCUAAAUGCCCCAGUUUAUGAUUGGAAACUAUCAAUUAGUUCUCCCUUGAAAUUGGAGAAUCGGCUUCCUUGUGGAGCUGAUUUCACGAUCUGGGAAAAAUUGAAAGAUGGCAACACUGUAGAGCGACAUCGGGGUUUUAUGUCAUCCCGGGAGACCGUGCACAUAUAUUCUGCGGAUGUGCGCAAUCCCUUCAUGAUCUGGGAAAAAUUGAAAGAUGGCAACAGUGUAGAGCGACAUCGGGGUUUUAUGUCAUCCCGGGAGACCGUGCACAUAUAUUCUGCGGAUGUGCGCAAUCCUAUAUAUCU
This 309-nucleotide long non-coding RNA is filed under the name Nicotiana benthamiana. RNAcentral's name for it is "long non-coding RNA (NBEN_LNC014745)". Lineage: Eukaryota; Viridiplantae; Streptophyta; Magnoliopsida; Solanales; Solanaceae. The record is from RNAcentral.